AGUUUGCUUGAGCUAAUUUGAGUUAUAUUUACUGUGGAAUGGACAAUGACGAUGAUUUCACCUUUUGCCAGGCAAGUUGAAUGUUUACAUUACCUAGAAUGAAGCCAGAGUCCCCUAAUCUUCUUGUGUUCAAUUCGUUUUAUCAAUUGUGAACUUUGUUUUCAUGAGAUAGUGUCAAUAGUGGAUGCUUUGUGCAUAUUAUCAUAUCUGCUGAAAUUCAGGAUUUGUCUUUAUUAGGUUGGUGUUACUGCCCAAGAUGGUGUUGAGGCGAAGAAGCUUGCUUCGGAUAUUGAUGGUGUGGUUAUAAAAGAUGAGUCCUCAACUGGCACCAAUGGAAGACAAAGUACUGGUAUCACUUGGAAAGAUAGCUUGCCAAUUGAUGCUUCUUCCAAGAAGGAGGAAACUGUUGGUUCUUUGUCUUUCAAUGUUAUUGAUGGGGCAUCUUUAAAAAAAUCUAGUGAUGUGUCCAGACAAGUAGCAUCUUUAGAUGUUGGAACUUCAGUUACAAAUUCAAAAGGACAAAAACCUUCUUCCAGGAAGCCUGCCGCUCGAGCCAAGGUUCCCUUUGAAAAGGGGUAUAGCCAAAUGGAUUGGCUUAAGCUCACUCGAACUCAUCCUGAUCUUGCUGGACUGAAGGGACAGUCUAAUAAGAGGCUUAUUUCUAUGAAUGAAGUUAAACAACAUCAAAGUGAAGGGUCCAUGUGGACUGUUCUAAAAGGC
This 720-nucleotide unclassified non-coding RNA is filed under the name Hevea brasiliensis (rubber tree). The record is from RNAcentral. Lineage: Eukaryota; Viridiplantae; Streptophyta; Magnoliopsida; Malpighiales; Euphorbiaceae.